This 513-nucleotide ribosomal RNA is filed under the name uncultured bacterium. Its description in RNAcentral is "bacterial SSU rRNA". It matches the Rfam family "Bacterial small subunit ribosomal RNA", at positions 9 to 517 of the family's 1533-position model. The record is from RNAcentral.
GAGUUUGAUCGUGGCUCAGAUUGAACGCUGGCGGCAGGCCUAACACAUGCAAGUCGAGCGGUAGAGAGAAGCUUGCUUCUCUUGAGAGCGGCGGACGGGUGAGUAAUGCCUAGGAAUCUGCCUGGUAGUGGGGGAUAACGCUCGGAAACGGACGCUAAUACCGCAUACGUCCUACGGGAGAAAGCAGGGGACCUUCGGGCCUUGCGCUAUCAGAUGAGCCUAGGUCGGAUUAGCUAGUUGGUGAGGUAAUGGCUCACCAAGGCGACGAUCCGUAACUGGUCUGAGAGGAUGAUCAGUCACACUGGAACUGAGACACGGUCCAGACUCCUACGGGAGGCAGCAGUGGGGAGUAUUGGACAAUGGGCGAAAGCCUGAUCCAGCCAUGCCGCGUGUGUGAAGAAGGUCUUCGGAUUGUAAAGCACUUUAAGUUGGGAGGAAGGGCAGUAAAUUAAUACUUUGCUUGUUUGACGUUACCGACAGAAUAAGCACCGGCUAACUCUGUGCCAGCCGCCG